GCUCCUCAGAGUGACAUUGUGGCCCUAUGAGUGUUCAAGGCUCUUACUGUGCUGCUCACUGUAGUCUCAAACUCAUCUCUGAAACCAUGCUGCCUCUUCACAUCAUGAGAAGCUAACAUACAGAUGCAAACCACAACACUCAGCUGAUGGUCACCACAGAAGCCAUAAUUCCCCCAGCAUCAUGUGAAGCUCACAACAGACACAGACCGCCACUUGCUGCUGAUGGUAUUGUAAAACUACAUGGUCUCUGACUUUCAUUUUUGAAUUUUGAUUGUCUGUGUAUAAAAUCAAUUAGAAAUUUAGAUUUUCUCAUGUAGUAUUGGUUUGCUGAGUUAGGAUUAGACUUGGUCAUAUUCAUAAUUCCUUGUUUUCUAUACAUUACAAAAUCAUUUUCUUUGCAUUAAGCAUCACAUACUUAAGAAGCAAAAGACCUAGUAUUAAUAUUCUUAUAUAAUCUUCCCAAGAGUGCCGUCAUUUCUUUUCUCCAACUUCUCUCAGAUUCAUCCCAAGUGCAAACAAACUUCAGAUACUCUAGAUUAAGUGGGAGCACUAAAGCUGACUCACUUCCACAUUCUCUAUCCCUUUCUUCACUACCAAAGUAGAGUAAAAGUAAAUAAAUGAAAAUCAAAAUAGCA
This 635-nucleotide long non-coding RNA is filed under the name Mus spicilegus (steppe mouse). RNAcentral's name for it is "lncRNA (ENSMSIG00000032143.1)". Lineage: Eukaryota; Metazoa; Chordata; Mammalia; Rodentia; Muridae. The record is from RNAcentral.